Molecule: ribosomal RNA, 408 nt
Filed under: uncultured bacterium
Lineage: Bacteria
Description: partial 16S ribosomal RNA
Rfam family: Bacterial small subunit ribosomal RNA
Source: RNAcentral
GACGAACGCUGGCGGCGUGCUUAACACAUGCAAGUCGAACGAAGUGGCGAACGGGUGAGUAAUACGUGGGUAACCUGCCCUCCUUUUUGGGAUAAGCCUUGGAAACGGGGUCUAAUACCGACUAAAGGGGGCUGGGCUAGCGGCCUAUCAGCUUGUUGGGGGGGUGAUGGCCUACCAAGGCGGUGACGGGUGGCCGGCCUGAGAGGGUGAACGGCCACAAUGGGACGGAGAUACGGCCCAGACUGCUGCGGGGGGGAGCAGUGGGGGAUAUUGAACAAUGGGUGAAAGUCGGAUGCAGCGACGCCGUGUGGGGGAUGAAGGCUUUCGGGUUGUAAACCUCGUUCGCUAUCGAGCGGGUAGGUGGAGAAGAGGCGCCGGCUAACUACGUGCCAGCAGCCGCGGUAAUAC